GUGCUUGCUUCUGCAGCACAUAUACUAAAAUUGGAAUGAUACAGAGAAGAUUAGCACGGCCCUGAGGAAAGGAUGACAUGCAAAUAUGAGAAGAAUUCCAUAUUAUA
Pipistrellus kuhlii (Kuhl's pipistrelle) is the source of this 107-nucleotide small nuclear RNA. The record is from RefSeq and is a predicted model, not a curated record. NCBI's taxonomy places the organism in Eukaryota, Metazoa, Chordata, Mammalia, Chiroptera, Vespertilionidae.